UACGAAGGGGGCUAGCGUUGCUCGGAAUUACUGGGCGUAAAGGGCGCGUAGGCGGACAGUUUAGUCAGAGGUGAAAGCCCAGGGCUCAACCUUGGAAUUGCCUUUGAUACUGGUGAGCUUGAGUCCGGAAGAGGUGAGUGGAACUGCGAGUGUAGAGGUGAAAUUCGUAGAUAUUCGCAAGAACACCAGUGGCGAAAGCGGCAUGCUGGACCUUCACUGACGCUGAGGAGCGAAAGCCAGGGGAGCAAACGGG
Molecule: ribosomal RNA, 253 nt
Filed under: uncultured bacterium
Lineage: Bacteria
Description: partial 16S ribosomal RNA
Rfam family: Bacterial small subunit ribosomal RNA
Source: RNAcentral